GUCAGGCAUGGUGGCGUAUGCCUGUAAUCCCAGCUACUUGGGAGGCUGAGGCAUGAGAAUCACUUGAACCCAGGAGGUGGAGGUUGCAGUGAGCUGAGAUCAUGCCACUGCACUCCGGCCUGGGUGACAGAGGGAGACCGAGUCUCAA
Molecule: unclassified non-coding RNA, 148 nt
Organism: Pongo abelii (Sumatran orangutan)
Lineage: Eukaryota; Metazoa; Chordata; Mammalia; Primates; Hominidae
Rfam family: Metazoan signal recognition particle RNA
About the family: The signal recognition particle (SRP) is a universally conserved ribonucleoprotein. It is involved in the co-translational targeting of proteins to membranes.
Source: Ensembl